GUGGGGAAUAUUGCACAAUGGGCGAAAGCCUGAUGCAGCGACGCCGCGUGAGGGAUGACUGCCUUCGGGUUGUAAACCUCUUUCAGCAGGGACGAAGCGCAAGUGACGGUACCUGCAGAAGAAGCACCGGCCAACUACGUGCCAGCAGCCGCGGUAAUACGUAGGGUGCAAGCGUUGUCCGGAAUUAUUGGGCGUAAAGAGCUCGUAGGCGGUCUGUCGCGUCGGCUGUGAAAACCUGGGGCUUAACUCCGGGCCUGCAGCCGAUACGGGCAGACUAGAGUUCGGCAGGGGAGACUGGAAUUCCUGGUGUAGCGGUGAAAUGCGCAGAUAUCAGGAGGAACACCGGUGGCGAAGGCGGGUCUCUGGGCCGAAACUGACGCUGAGGAGCGAAAGCGUGGGGAGCAAACAGG
Molecule: ribosomal RNA, 410 nt
Filed under: uncultured Jatrophihabitans sp.
Lineage: Bacteria; Bacillati; Actinomycetota; Actinomycetes; Jatrophihabitantales; Jatrophihabitantaceae
Description: bacterial SSU rRNA
Rfam family: Bacterial small subunit ribosomal RNA
Source: RNAcentral